This 210-nucleotide ribosomal RNA is filed under the name uncultured bacterium. RNAcentral's name for it is "partial 16S ribosomal RNA". It matches the Rfam family "Bacterial small subunit ribosomal RNA", at positions 568 to 775 of the family's 1533-position model. The record is from RNAcentral.
CUCGUAGGUGGCCAACUAAGUCAAACGUGAAAUCCCUCGGCUUAACCGGGGAACUGCGUUUGAUACUGGAUGGCUUGAGUUUGGGAGAGGGAUGCGGAAUUCCAGGUGUAGCGGUGAAAUGCGUAGAUAUCUGGAGGAACACCGGUGGCGAAGGCGGGCAUCCUGGACCAAUACUGACGCUGAGGAGCGAAAGCUAGGGGGAGCAAACGG